Non-coding RNA from Zonotrichia albicollis (white-throated sparrow), 1600 nucleotides. Lineage: Eukaryota; Metazoa; Chordata; Aves; Passeriformes; Passerellidae. The record is from RefSeq and is a predicted model, not a curated record.
AAACUGUUAUCCCAGGAUAACACCAAAGAUAAGUUAAAAUCUCUGGAUCCUCACCCAGAAUGAGGUGGAAUAAAGCCUGAAGGAUUCCCAUUUUUCCAGGAAAACAGCCCCAAACUGCCUGGGAUAACAGCAAAGAUCAGGUUAAAAUCCCUGGAUCCUCACCCAGACCAGGCUGCUGAACAUUCCCAUGGAAUAAAUCCUGAAGGAUUCCCAUUGCUCCAUGAAAAAUGGCUCCAAAACUCACUGGGAUAACAGGAAAGGUCAGGUUAAAAUCCCUGGAUCCUCACCCAGAAUAAGCUGGAAUAAAUCCUGAAGGAUUCCCACUGAAAAUGGCUCCAAACUCACUGGGAUAACAGCAAAGAGCAAGGAAAAAUCCCUGGAUUCUCACCCACACCGAGCUGGAAUAAAUCCUGAAGGAUUCCCACUGCUCCAUGAAAAAAGGCUCCAAAACUGUUAUCCCAGGAUAACAGCAAAAAUCAGGUUAAAAUUCCUGGGUCUUCAGUCAGACCAAGCUGCUACAGAUUCCCAUGGAAUAAAUCCUGCAGGAUUCCCAUUGCUACACAAAAAUGGCUCCAAAACUGUUAUCCCAGGAUAACAGCAAAGAGAAGUUAAAAUCUCUGGAUCCUCAUCAGAGUGAGCUGGAAUAAAUCCUGAAGGAUUCCCACUGCAAAAGGGUCCCAAACUGCCUGGGAAAACAGCAAAAGUCAGGUUAAAAUCCUUGGAUUCUCACCCAGACUGAGGGGGAAUAAAUCCUGAAGGAUUCCCAUAAAAAUGGCUCCAAACUCACUGGGAAAACAGAAAAAAUCAAGUCAAAAUCCCUGGAUCCUCACCACACUGAUCUGCUGCCCAUUCCCACAGAUUAAAUCCUGCAGGAUUCCCAUUUUUCCAUGAAAACAGCCCCAAAGUGCCUGAGCUGAGCCCCCAAUCUGCUCCAUGGCUGCAGCCCAGAGCCAAAGUGCAAGGCUCUGAAAUUCCAGGUGUUCCAGGAGCCUUGGCAUCCCUGCCCUGCUGCUCCCCAGGGAUUGUUUUUGGAGCCUGGAACCUUCCUGUUGAAACAUCUCUCUAAUUGCAAUAAUUGAUCCUAAUUGCUCUCUGCAUUUCCAAAUUCCACAGGCAAGGCUAGGUUGCAUCCAAGCCCAGGAAAACAAUGAUGAGAUCCAAGCACUGCCCCAUUAUCUCUCUCUUUUUUGGUAUUUAAUGACCUAAGAAAGUUACAAAAGCCACUUUAAAUUACAUUUAGGUAGAUAAACUAAUUAAAUCUAUUUAGCUAAUACUGAGAAAAUAAAUCCCAAGCACCAUGAAGACAAAAAACAAUUAGAGAUGAGUAAUUCCAGGGUAAUUAAGGACUUUUUAUGGAGUCUCUGGAUGAGUUGGAGACCACUGGAAGUUGACCUCAUUCUCAUUUUCCAACAGUGUGGAAUGAGUGUGGAAUUUCCAAAUGAGUGAUUAGCCCAGAUUUAAUUAAGUUCUGCAUUCUGGGAGAACAAUUUUAUGACUCAUUACAUUUUUUUUUUUUGCCAGUUCUUAAUUUCAGGAAUGGCAGAUUUGCUGGGAAUUUCAGUGGAAUUUUCAGAGGAUUCUGAGCAUUACAACAAGCAAU